Molecule: ribosomal RNA, 566 nt
Filed under: Hyperolius constellatus
Lineage: Eukaryota; Metazoa; Chordata; Amphibia; Anura; Hyperoliidae
Description: partial 16S ribosomal RNA
Rfam family: Bacterial large subunit ribosomal RNA
Source: RNAcentral
AAACAUCGCCUUUUGUUAAAUUAUAAAAGGUCUUGCCUGCCCCGUGAUUUAUUUUAACGGCCGCGGUAUCUUAACCGUGCAAAGGUAGCAUAAUCAAUUGUCUCUUAAAUUGAGACUAGUAUGAACGGCACCACGAGGGUUUAACUGUCUCCCCCUUUUAAUCAAUGAAAUUAACCUUCCCGUGAAGAACCGGGAAUAUAUCUAUAAGACGAGAAGACCCCAUGGAGCUUUAAACUUAUUGUCAUUUAUUUAAUAGUACAACACACUACCAGAUAAAAAUGCCUUAUAGUUUUUGGUUGGGGCGACCCUGGAGAAAAAUAGAUCCUCCAGAUUGAAAGGGUAAUAACCCUUAUAUAAGAACUACCAUUCAAACAAACAAAAAUUUGACAAAACUGACCCAGAAUUAACUGAUCAGUGAACCAAGUUACCCUGGGGAUAACAGCGCAAUCCAUUUCAAGAGCCCAUAUCGACAAAUGGGUUUACGACCUCGAUGUUGGAUCAGGGGAUCCUAGCAGCGCAGCCGUUGCUAAUGGUUCGUUUGUUCAACGAUUAAUGCCCUACGUGAU